UAGUUAAUUGGUGUGUUUGUGUGUGUGU
This 28-nucleotide non-coding RNA is filed under the name Mus musculus (house mouse). The record is from RNAcentral. Lineage: Eukaryota; Metazoa; Chordata; Mammalia; Rodentia; Muridae.